GUUGACGAUAUUUUUGUGUGUAAUUUAAUUACAAAAGCACUCAUCAAGUUUCAGGCGAAAACGAAUUAAAACGGAAAUUCUACGGGAUUUUUAAGUUUCACUUAAAGUGAAUAGUAACUCGAUUUUCCGGAGAAGCCGCGGUGAGAAGUUGGUUUCUGGCUCGUACCGGACUCUGUUCAUAGCAGUCCAAUAGCUCGUUUCGACCGGUUCAGCUAUUCUGGAACUGAUGGCGCUGACGGAUUUUGAGUUCGACUCACGGAUUUCGAGAAAAUCCAAAAAUCCAUAUUCUAUAUGUAUUUAGGUGUGUUUUCUUCUGUUGAAAGGAAGGUUGGAUUUUGUCGUGAAUCCGUGGUCGAUCGAGAUGAAUCGAAAUGUAGCUUUGUUGUCUCCGUCGUGCUGAUCGCACUGGUGUGAUCCGUUCGCAAAUCUGACGGACGGAUCUGCGGAGAUCGCGCGUUGAUCGAGGAGAGGUCGGUAGUGGCAAAACGGUAUUUUCGCAAAAAUCGCGAUAUUUUAUGUACCGUUUCGCGUGAGAUCGCACGUGGAGGGGUAUUCGUGCAUUUUAGUCGUGCUGUGAGGGACUCGGUAUGAAUUACCGGUGUUUGGUGGACCU
Molecule: long non-coding RNA, 613 nt
Filed under: Ananas comosus (pineapple)
Lineage: Eukaryota; Viridiplantae; Streptophyta; Magnoliopsida; Poales; Bromeliaceae
Description: long non-coding RNA (ACOM_LNC038655)
Source: RNAcentral